GUAAAAGGGUGGGCCACUGACACAAAUCACAAAUCACAAUCUGCAAGAACUGCAGAAAGGGGCAAACAUACACAAAACUGGGGCAUGUCUGUGUCUCCCAGUCCCUUAGUGUCUGAGUCCCCAUGUCUCCCAGUGUUCCCAUGUCACUAGGACACUACGGGACAUUGAGAGACAUUGGGACACUGGGAGACAUGGGGACACUGGG
Molecule: non-coding RNA, 205 nt
Organism: Pelobates cultripes (western spadefoot toad)
Lineage: Eukaryota; Metazoa; Chordata; Amphibia; Anura; Pelobatidae
Source: the annotation of a GenBank genome assembly